Camelus dromedarius (Arabian camel) is the source of this 733-nucleotide long non-coding RNA. RefSeq lists it as uncharacterized. The transcript has 3 exons. NCBI's taxonomy places the organism in Eukaryota, Metazoa, Chordata, Mammalia, Artiodactyla, Camelidae. The record is from RefSeq and is a predicted model, not a curated record.
ACCAGGUCCUGGGUGUAUGUGGGAAUCCCCAGCUGCUGCUAUGGCUGCUGGCUGCCAGGGCUCUGACUCUGAGUUGUAUCUCAGCCACGCUCCCGGACCACAGCCAGAAAAGACUCUUGAGAAGAAAGACCCAUGAAAGUCAAAUAAAGUGGGUGAACCCACCCACAUGCCUGGACGAUGAGUCUCUGGUUCUGAAUGUGGAAGACACACCUCUAUCCUGAUAACGUGGAAUGGGAGUUAGCAGUGUGGAUGACCCUGGACAAGCCACUUCACCUCUCCUCAGAUUCCCACCCUUAAAAUAGAACCUGGCCAGUUCUGAAAUUCUGAUUUCUGAUCAACUGAAGAAAUGCUCAGAGUGAGGGGUGUCCAGGAAAGCCAGGUUCUCCUCCAGAACUCCCCACAGCCUCUGCACUGCCCAGGCCUCCUAGUCUCCAAAUGUGGCCUCUCGUCUCCGGAUGCCUGAGACUUACUACAUGGCUCCAUGUCCUCUGCCCUCAAUAAUCCAGACAGCCACAGCGUGCACUGUUUGGGUCCAUUUCUUAGCUGGAGAAGGGAAUUGGAUGCUACCCUCAAUGGGAACGUGAGCUGCCAAAUGCAAGGACUGCAGCCGGGUCGCCUGAGAACGCCUGCCUGCCUGCCUGCCUGCCCAGAGGCAGGGAGAAGACGGCAAGGUGUCAUCUCCACGACUCAGCUCGGAAGCCUCUUAACUGUGCACUUAAUAAAUGAAGCCUUG